This 467-nucleotide ribosomal RNA is filed under the name uncultured bacterium. Its description in RNAcentral is "partial 16S ribosomal RNA". It matches the Rfam family "Bacterial small subunit ribosomal RNA", at positions 28 to 506 of the family's 1533-position model. The record is from RNAcentral.
GACGAACGCUGGCGGCGUGCUUAACACAUGCAAGUCGAGCGGAAAGGCCCUGCUUUUGUGGGGUGCUCGAGUGGCGAACGGGUGAGUAACACGUGAGUAACCUGCCCUUGACUUUGGGAUAACUUCAGGAAACUGGGGCUAAUACCGGAUAGGAGCUCCUGCUGCAUGGUGGGGGUUGGAAAGUUUCGGCGGUUGGGGAUGGACUCGCGGCUUAUCAGCUUGUUGGUGGGGUAGUGGCUUACCAAGGCUUUGACGGGUAGCCGGCCUGAGAGGGUGACCGGCCACAUUGGGACUGAGAUACGGCCCAGACUCCUACGGGAGGCAGCAGUGGGGAAUAUUGCACAAUGGGCGGAAGCCUGAUGCAGCAACGCCGCGUGCGGGAUGACGGCCUUCGGGUUGUAAACCGCUUUCGCCUGUGACGAAGCGUGAGUGACGGUAAUGGGUAAAGAAGCACCGGCUAACUACGU